ACGACAACCAUAAAACGUUUCUGCGCCAAACACAAAUUGCCCAACCUUCGGGUUAGUUCAUGAUUUUUUUUCAAUUCGAUUGUUCUUCAAAUUCAUCUUCCGAUCCUUAAUCGACGCCAACGGAAUCCAACCGCCAUCCAAUUUUGCAGUCGAAUCGGAAGAUCUCGAUUUCCAUUCUCAGAUUCAAGAUUGUUCCACAGAGCAUUUGGGUUAGUUCACAGAGCAUUUGGGUUAGUUCAAGGUUCAUUUUGAUCCAUUAAAUAAUUUUAGUUACUCUUUUGGUUGUUUUGGAUUCUGUAUUUGCUAUUUUCACUUUUGGUUGUGAUUGUUCUUCGCAGGCUUUUAGGUUCUCGAGUUAGGGUUUUUCCCCCUUUGAUAUGGUUUCACUUUUAUUACGCAGAUGUUUUUGUGUGUUUCUGCACUACGCUCAUAAAUUUUGAUAUGGGUUCUCGUGAUUUUUACCUGCAUCAUCGGAAAUAUUGGAGUGUGGUAUUUGUUAAUCGUCGUCUUCAGUUUGAUUGUUGUUAAUUUUAUUUAAUAUUACCCGUUUUGAUUUGGUCGGUUAACUGUCAUGAGUUUUUUUAUCGGUGUUCGAUUACGAAAAAGACUCAUGCCUAAGCAGAUUGUGUCAAGAGACUUUGUUGAUGAUUGUUAAUAUCAAUUCGUCUGUGUGAGCCUUAUUUUUCUAAUAAAUUGGGACUGUUUUGUGUUUAUAUUUUGUUCUCUCUCUACACAGAGGUGUGGGAUUAACAAUGUUAUGUUUAAUUAGUGAAGAAGUCGGGGACUGUUUGAAGAGAGAAGUUUUACAUUUAUCCUUUGGGAUUUCCUUCUCUGUCCCUGUAUGAUUGGAAUAUUAUGUUUUGUCUUUGUUUCAAGGGUUGUCUUGCUAAUUGGAUAUUUGGUUUCAUUGCAGUUCACUUGACUGUGGUUUUUUUCCCUUUCUCAUUCUUACAAUCGUCUCAGCGACUGUGUCCUUUGGAAUGAACAUUGGACUUAACUUGAAGCUCAUGAAACAAGACAAUAAUUAUAUUGAAUUAGAGGAGGAUCUUAAUCCCUCUUUCUUGUUGUUAUGCUUUCAAAUGUAUUAUUCUUGAUUCAUUACGGCCUUCUUGUGAGAGCUUCUGUCGAUAAUUUCUUGUUUUAUUUUCUAUUUUUAGCCUCAACUGGAGUAUAAAAAUUACAUUAUGAGGAAAUCCAACAGGUACGAGCCAUUAUGCAGUGUGUGUUCAUCUUUCUAGAUCUUGUGUGCAUGUUCUUUAUGUCACUCUUGCUUUUUCUUUAAGUUUUAGGACUUUGUAGGUUAUGGUGCUUAAGUUUAGUAAUUUUAAGUUAUUUCAAUCUAUAUGUUGUAGUUUUGGUAUAUUAUUUCAUUGAUGUAAGUGCUAAAAGCAACGAGUUCAAGGUGAGCUACGUUAUUCUUGCGGAGGCAAGAGCAUAGUGAGUGAGAUUUGGCUAGGAUUACUUCAUAUGAGAUUGAUAGGUGUAAUUUUUCUUAAUUGUUCAUAGAAGGGAUGAGGGUUGAUUAUAAAAUAGAAAAUGUGUUCAUAUGGGGGUUGAUAGUUGUUAUACUUUUGAAAUUGUUGAUAUGGGGUUGUCUAUAACGUUAGAAUUGUUCAUUUUGGGUUUUUCAUAUCCUUUUAACUUAGAAAUGCUUCACAAGGUUGUAAUAUUGACAAUGUUAAAGAAGUGAACUUUUGAUAAAGAUAUUAAUAGAAAUUUGGUUAAUAUAUAA
Long non-coding RNA from Benincasa hispida (wax gourd), 1732 nucleotides. RefSeq lists it as uncharacterized. Lineage: Eukaryota; Viridiplantae; Streptophyta; Magnoliopsida; Cucurbitales; Cucurbitaceae. The record is from RefSeq and is a predicted model, not a curated record.